Molecule: ribosomal RNA, 135 nt
Filed under: uncultured bacterium
Lineage: Bacteria
Description: partial 16S ribosomal RNA
Source: RNAcentral
CACGAAGUUAGCCGGAGCUUCUUCUGCGGGUACCGUCAUUAUCGUCCCCGCCGAAAGAGUUUUACAACCCUAGGGCCUUCAUCACUCACGCGGCAUGGCUGGAUCAGGGUUUCCCCCAUUGUCUAAGAUUCCCCA